UACGGGGGGAGCAAGCGUUGUUCGGAUUUACUGGGCGUAAAGGGCGCGUAGGCGGCGUGACAAGUCACUUGUGAAAUCUCCGGGCUUAACUCGGAACGGUCAAGUGAUACUGUCGUGCUAGAGUACAGAAGGGGCAACUGGAAUUCUCGGUGUAGCGGUGGAAUGCGCAGAUAUCAGGAGGAACACCGAUGGCGAAGGCAGCUCGCUGGGACGGUACUGACGCUGAGGCGCGAAAGCGUGGGGAGCGAACAGG
Molecule: ribosomal RNA, 253 nt
Filed under: uncultured bacterium
Lineage: Bacteria
Description: partial 16S ribosomal RNA
Rfam family: Bacterial small subunit ribosomal RNA
Source: RNAcentral